GACAGACCCAGGGAACUGAAACAUCUAAGUACCUGGAGGAAGAGAAAGCAAAUGCGAUUUCCUGAGUAGCGGCGAGCGAAACGGAACAUAGCCCAAACCAAGAGGCUUGCCUCUUGGGGUUGUAGGACAUUCUAUACGGAGUUACAAAGGAACGAGGUAGACGAAGCGACCUGGAAAGGUCCGUCGUAGAGGGUAACAACCCCGUAGUCGAAACUUCGUUCUCUCUUGAAUGUAUCCUGAGUACGGCGGAACACGUGAAAUUCCGUCGGAAUCUGGGAGGACCAUCUCCCAAGGCUAAAUACUCCCUAGUGAUCGAUAGUGAACCAGUACCGUGAGGGAAAGGUGAAAAGCACCCCGGAAGGGGAGUGAAAGAGAUCCUGAAACCGUGUGCCUA
RNAcentral lists this ribosomal RNA (394 nucleotides) under Bacillus cereus. RNAcentral describes it as "partial 23S ribosomal RNA". It matches the Rfam family "Bacterial large subunit ribosomal RNA", at positions 178 to 566 of the family's 2925-position model. Lineage: Bacteria; Bacillati; Bacillota; Bacilli; Caryophanales; Bacillaceae. RNAcentral also lists the same sequence under 1 other name. The record is from RNAcentral.